GUGGGUAUAACUCAGUGGUAGAGAACCAUACUUAGCAUUCCCAAGGUCCUGGGUUCAAUCCCCAGUACCUCCA
This 73-nucleotide transfer RNA is filed under the name Camelus bactrianus (Bactrian camel). It matches the Rfam family "tRNA". Rfam says of the family: Transfer RNA (tRNA) molecules are approximately 80 nucleotides in length. Their secondary structure includes four short double-helical elements and three loops (D, anti-codon, and T loops). Further hydrogen bonds mediate the characteristic L-shaped molecular structure. tRNAs have two regions of fundamental functional importance: the anti-codon, which is responsible for specific mRNA codon recognition, and the 3' end, to which the tRNAs corresponding amino acid is attached (by aminoacyl-tRNA synthetases). tRNAs cope with the degeneracy of the genetic code in two manners: having more than one tRNA (with a specific anti-codon) for a particular amino acid; and 'wobble' base-pairing, i.e. permitting non-standard base-pairing at the 3rd anti-codon position. RNAcentral also lists the same sequence under 2 other names. Lineage: Eukaryota; Metazoa; Chordata; Mammalia; Artiodactyla; Camelidae. The record is from Rfam by way of RNAcentral.